RNAcentral lists this ribosomal RNA (484 nucleotides) under uncultured bacterium. RNAcentral describes it as "partial 16S ribosomal RNA". It matches the Rfam family "Bacterial small subunit ribosomal RNA", at positions 30 to 507 of the family's 1533-position model. The record is from RNAcentral.
AUUGAACGCUGGCGGCAGGCCUAACACAUGCAAGUCGAGCGGAUGAAGGGAGCUUGCUCCUGGAUUCAGCGGCGGACGGGUGAGUAAUGCCUAGGAAUCUGCCUGGUAGUGGGGGAUAACGUCCGGAAACGGGCGCUAAUACCGCAUACGUCCUGAGGGAGAAAGUGGGGGAUCUUCGGACCUCACGCUAUCAGAUGAGCCUAGGUCGGAUUAGCUAGUUGGUGGGGUAAAGGCCUACCAAGGCGACGAUCCGUAACUGGUCUGAGAGGAUGAUCAGUCACACUGGAACUGAGACACGGUCCAGACUCCUACGGGAGGCAGCAGUGGGGAAUAUUGGACAAUGGGCGAAAGCCUGAUCCAGCCAUGCCGCGUGUGUGAAGAAGGUCUUCGGAUUGUAAAGCACUUUUAGUUGGGAGGAAGGGCAGUGAGUUAAUCCCUUGCUGUUUUGACGUUACCAACAGAAUAAGCACCGGCUAACUUCGUG